GGGAGGGAGAUCGGGGGCGGGGAUUGGGAGAGGGGGAAUGAAACAAGUGGGUCCUAGAGUGCCCCUGAGUGCUCUUCGGGAAGAUGUACUCAUUUGAUAGAGCUCUCAUCCUUUUACUGUCUUCACCUGUACCUACAUCCAAGGAGUCGAAGAGUAACUAAGGACAAGAGUGAUGGCCAUAAUACAUCAUGCAGGCUCACAUUGAUUUAGUGCUGAGAACCAUGACGGGGCUCUCUUUGCAACACAAUUGGCAACUUGAAACAUAUAAUGCAAUGAAACAAGCAAGAUGAGAAAGGACUGAUAUCCAAUACCCUUUAAAGGAACAUUAGUAAUAUCUCUCCUAAUGGUGGAAUGCUAUAUUCCAAACGCCCAUGUUUCCAAAAGGAAAAUUGCUGGACAGCAAGGAUUGUGAAUGCAUCAGCUGAAGUCUCGGGCAGUAAGGAAGAGAAGACUUCAUAGCCAUCAUGUGUAGACUUAUGAUCAGUACCAUCCGGGAACCUGAUGCCUGAGAAGAAAGCGUCGGCAAGAUACAGAAGAUGGGCCACACCGAGAUGGGAACAAAGAAAGGUCUCAGAUGACACCAGAGUAAACUUUGAUGUGCUUUGAGAAA
Molecule: long non-coding RNA, 610 nt
Organism: Rattus norvegicus (Norway rat)
Lineage: Eukaryota; Metazoa; Chordata; Mammalia; Rodentia; Muridae
Source: RefSeq, a predicted model, not a curated record